This 430-nucleotide ribosomal RNA is filed under the name uncultured bacterium. Its description in RNAcentral is "bacterial SSU rRNA". It matches the Rfam family "Bacterial small subunit ribosomal RNA", at positions 355 to 776 of the family's 1533-position model. The record is from RNAcentral.
UGGGGAAUAUUGCGCAAUGGGCGAAAGCCUGACGCAGCAACGCCGCGUGAGUGAUGAAGGCCUUUGGGUUGUAAAGCUCUUUCGGCCGGGAAGAAGGUAUGUGGUGUUAAUAGUACCGCAUAUUGAUGGUACCGGAAUAAGAAGCACCGGCUAACUUCGUGCCAGCAGCCGCGGUAAUACGAAGGGUGCAAGCGUUGUUCGGAAUUAUUGGGCGUAAAGGGUUCGUAGGUGGGAAUUUAAGUCAGGUGUGAAAUCCUCGGGCUUAACCUGAGACGUGCAUUUGAAACUGAGUUUCUUGAGUACCAGAGAGGGUAGUGGAAUUGCUGGUGUAGGAGUGACAUCCGUAGAGAUCAGCAGGAACACCGGAGGCGAAGGCGACUGCCUGGCUGGUAACUGACACUGAGGAACGAAAGCGUGGGGAGCAAACAGG